This 262-nucleotide long non-coding RNA is filed under the name Gossypium barbadense (sea-island cotton). RNAcentral's name for it is "long non-coding RNA (GBAR_LNC020081)". The record is from RNAcentral. Lineage: Eukaryota; Viridiplantae; Streptophyta; Magnoliopsida; Malvales; Malvaceae.
GCCACUUGAUUGAGUGAGACUAGAAAUGCAUGGUCAUGCUCAAAUAAGCUGAUAUGAGAAGUCAUACUUAUUUGUAUAUCAUAGUCUACUUAAAAUAUCAAGGAACAUGGAAUGGACUAUGCAAGUGUGACUAUUCCAUGACUUGUGUCCAAUCCAGAGAUAAAAAACUUAAAGAUUAUUGCAUGAAAGGUUAAUCAUAUAAAUGUUAUGUCGAAUCAUGAUUUCUUGUGACUUAGGUAGCAAUGAUGCAUUGCUAGGUGCC